Molecule: long non-coding RNA, 745 nt
Organism: Crotalus tigris (Tiger rattlesnake)
Lineage: Eukaryota; Metazoa; Chordata; Lepidosauria; Squamata; Viperidae
Exons: 3
Source: RefSeq, a predicted model, not a curated record
AUUUUUCGGUAGAUGUUGUGAGCAAACAUGGAACCGGCAGAGAGCAACGCAGAAUCUCCUGAAGACAUUACAGCAGCUGCUAUGGCACCCAAGCCACCGAUGGAAAUGUGGCUAAAUUUAGUUUCUGCCAAGACAAAUGAAAGACACCAUAUUACCUAAAGAGGCAAGAACAGCAGCAAACCAGAAUAUGUCCGCAAUCAAUGGAGGAAUAAAAAGAAGACAGCCCAUCACGUUCCCAUACAUCUCUUGAAUUGGAUCCAUCAGAGUCAGUGUAUGAGGAAACCACCAGAAGAAAUCUCAAAGUAUAAGUCUAUUUCAGCAAUGCGCAUUAUAAAACUCUUUUCAGGAAUGGGGUUAUUGACACGGACUCUACAGAGGCUCGUGAACAAGAAGACUUCCAGAAUGAGUCUUGUCCCAGGAGACAAUCAAUCAAUCAAGAAACUACCAAACCAGCUAACAGUAAACAGCCCACUUAAAGAAUCCCCAAGACUACUCCCACCAACAUUGGCAGGGUAGGCCACUAGAAUAUCAAUGGACAGCAAACCCCACUCGCCACUAAUACUGGUGACGUUCCCUAGUUUGGGUAAUGAAAUGUCUGCAAGAAAACAACCAAGCUCAGAGAGUACCAAAGACCCCUCAUUUCAAUCCUGAGAUACAAAUAUUCUCCUGUAUUGAUAACAAAGGAGAUACAGGUAGACUCUGACUUACAACAGUUCAUUUAGUGAGGGUUCGAAGUUACAACGGU